UACAUACUGUAGGUGGCAGUAAUGCAAUUUAAGGGAUUCCAGCUGCUUUUAUAAAUCCUCGCAGAAGAAGUCAUUCGUUCUUUCACGAUGGCCGAACAACAAGUUGAAACAGCGAUAUACACCAAGACCCCAGGAAGAGCACCAAUCUGUUUGGUUUCCAGUGCUUUGAACAGAGGUUAAUGAUGGGCUCCACCUCUCCUGUCCCAUUGUGCCCCAGCAGCGCCUGCAGGAAGUAGCGGCUGCUGGCGGCGAGCACGGCCCUGUGAGCGCGGACCUCCCGGCCCUCCACCAGCACCGUGACAUCACACAGGAUGCCCUGCCGCCGCUGCUCCUCCAGGCUCAACAGCACGUUGGCACAGUGGACCUUGGAUUCAUACACGUACAGGGGCGCUGCCGCCUCUCCAUCCCGCUCCUCGUCUGCCGACAUCACUCCCUCUAGCACCCUGCACAAACAGAAUAGAGGAGGGAGUUCCUCUACCCCACCCUGCCUGAAAUGCCUCCAUUGGACUCCUUUGUUUACUUCCGUAAAAUAGAUACUACAUAACAUUUGCACUUCUAUUGGCUAGCGCUCCAAGACAUUGUACGUGACUGGGCUCUGGUUUCAGACAGAGGGUGAAAAGAGGUGCUGCAGCACAGGCAGUAUGAUACAAAUAAAGAGCUUUUUGAACAUUAAAGCACGGAGACAUGUCACAGUAGAGAAACUAAAUACUGAUAUGACCCUGAAAAUGAGCAGAGUAGAGCCCCUUUAAAAAGCAGCUCCCGAUCGGCCCAAAAAUACAGAUUUUGGCACAAAUACGGUUGCAAGUUUGCUUCCUGCCGCACUGCCGAGGUGUCCUUGAGCAAGGCACCAAACCCCAACUUCUCCCUGGCUCCAUAACACUAGCCGCUUUCACUCUGCCACCUCUUCAUGAUUGCAUGUCUAUAGUUCCUGUUUUUGCAUGUGAGUGUAUUUCGGGCCUAUGUGUGUAAUUGUAAAAUAACAACAGAGUAAAGACUGAAUUUGGGGAUUCAUAACGGUGAUCUGAAUCUUAAAACCAGGUCGGCUAAGUUGUCCCUAAAUGAUUGACCAUUACUAUUUUGCACACCGAUAUGCCCUUAACGUCUCAGGCUAACACUAAUUACAUAAUCUCCAGCAACUACAGCUAGCAGAGUUAAGUAUGAGCCAAGGUCAGUGGCUCUGUAUUAGCAUAGUUGUACUUGUAGGUCAUAACAGUAUUUAGUAAAUCCACAGAUACUUUCACAGAUUUAGAUUGUUUGUUUGUUGUUUGUUUGUUGUCAUAGACUUUGUGUAUUAAUCUAGUUAGUUAAUUCUGAAUUCAAGUAAUGUGUUGUUCAAGGUUCAAGGUUCUUUAUUUGUCAUACGAACAUAGCUACGGUGUAGUUUUGCCGAUUAAAAUCUUGUGUCACAGGCUUCUCCAACAGUGCAACAUAAAACACAGAUAAACAGAAACAUAUAGUGCAAGUAAAUAAUAAAUAGUAAUACAAAAAGAAAAAUAGUUUUAAAAAAGUGAAAUAGAGCAAUAAGAGUCUAUAUGCAAGUAAUUGAAAUAGGAUAUAUAGGUAAAUAGAUACAUAAUUUUUAAAUAAUUUUUAAGUAGCAGCCAGAUGAAUAUUAGGGAUGUUGUUUCAACAGUUCAGGUGUUUACCAGUCUUAUUGCCUAUCGGAGGAAACUGUCCCUGAGUCUGAUGGUUUUAGUCCGGAUGCUGCGGUAACGCCUGCCAGACGGCAGCAGACAGAACAGUGUG
Molecule: long non-coding RNA, 1746 nt
Organism: Gymnodraco acuticeps
Lineage: Eukaryota; Metazoa; Chordata; Actinopteri; Perciformes; Bathydraconidae
Exons: 4
Source: RefSeq, a predicted model, not a curated record